AACGAACGCUGGCGGCAUGCCUAACACAUGCAAGUCGAACGAGACCUUCGGGUCUAGUGGCGCACGGGUGCGUAACGCGUGGGAAUCUACCCUUAGGUUCGGAAUAACUCAGAGAAAUUUGAGCUAAUACCGGAUGAUGACGUAAGUCCAAAGAUUUAUCGCCUGAGGAUGAGCCCGCUUAGGAUUAGGUAGUUGGUGAGGUAAAGGCUCACCAAGCCGACGAUCCUUAGCUGGUCUGAGAGGAUGAUCAGCCACACUGGGACUGAGACACGGCCCAGACUCCUACGGGAGGCAGCAGUGGGGAAUAUUGGACAAUGGGCGAAAGCCUGAUCCAGCAAUGCCGCGUGAGUGAUGAAGGCCUUAGGGUUGUAAAGCUCUUUUACCCGGGAUGAUAAUGACAGUACCGGGAGAAUAAGCUCCGGCUAACUCCGUG
RNAcentral lists this ribosomal RNA (433 nucleotides) under uncultured bacterium. RNAcentral's name for it is "partial 16S ribosomal RNA". It matches the Rfam family "Bacterial small subunit ribosomal RNA", at positions 29 to 507 of the family's 1533-position model. The record is from RNAcentral.